Molecule: ribosomal RNA, 460 nt
Filed under: Funneliformis geosporum
Lineage: Eukaryota; Fungi; Glomeromycota; Glomeromycetes; Glomerales; Glomeraceae
Description: LSU rRNA
Rfam family: Eukaryotic large subunit ribosomal RNA
Source: RNAcentral
GGAAAGAUGAAAAGAACUUUGAAAAGAGAGUUAAACAGUACGUGAAAUUGUUGUAAGGGAAACGAUUGAAGUCAGUCAUACCAACGGGAAAUCAACCUUUUGAGUUUGUUCUUGUGGGUUUCGAGGAGUUUAAAAGCCUUCUGAUUUGUGAGGAUUGGGCUCUUUUGGUGUACUUUCUCGUACGGUUAGUCAACAUCGGUUUUGAAUGUCAUAAAAUGACUGGAGGAAUGUGGCUUCGAUCUCGUAUCGAAGUGUUAUAACCUUUGGUAGAUGUGAUGUUCGAGACCGAGGAUUGCAACGGAUACCUUCCAGGCUAUUCGUCUGAUCUCUGAUACGUUGCCUUGAUGUCGAAAGCGUGCUUAUGAUGUUAGGGUAUUACGGUCAAAAGGUUAGAACGGAUUAAAUUCGUUAAGGAUGUUGACGUAAUGACUUUAAACGACCCGUCUUGAAACACGGACCA